UGGGGAAUUUUGGACAAUGGGCGCAAGCCUGAUCCAGCCAUUCCGCGUGAGUGAAGAAGGCCUUCGGGUUGUAAAGCUCUUUCGCAAGGGAAGAAAACUUAUCCUCUAACAUAUGGUGAGGCUGACGGUACCUUGAUAAGAAGCACCGGCUAACUACGUGCCAGCAGCCGCGGUAAUACGUAGGGUGCGAGCGUUAAUCGGAAUUACUGGGCGUAAAGCGUGCGCAGGCGGUUUUGUAAGUCAGAUGUGAAAGCCCCGGGCUCAACCUGGGAACUGCGUUUGAAACUGCAAGGCUAGAGUAUGGCAGAGGGGGGUAGAAUUCCACGUGUAGCAGUGAAAUGCGUAGAGAUGUGGAGGAAUACCAAUGGCGAAGGCAGCCCCCUGGGUCAAUACUGACGCUCAGGCACGAAAGCGUGGGGAGCAAACAG
This 428-nucleotide ribosomal RNA is filed under the name uncultured bacterium. RNAcentral's name for it is "bacterial SSU rRNA". It matches the Rfam family "Bacterial small subunit ribosomal RNA", at positions 355 to 775 of the family's 1533-position model. The record is from RNAcentral.